AGCUCGUAGUUGGAUUUCUGUUGAGGGCGGUCGGUCCACACAAUGUGUGCGCAUCUGGCUCAACCUCGGCAUCCUCUCGAAAGACGUUUCUGCGCUUCGUUGCGUGGGGCGGAUCUCGGGACUUUUACUUUGAGGAAAUUAGAGUGUUCACGGCAGGCCAACGCCAGAAUACAUUAGCAUGGAAUAAUACUAUAGGAUCUCGAUUCUAUUUUGUUGGUUUCUAGGAUUGGGAUAAUGAUUAAUAGGGACAAUUGGGGGCAUUCGUAUCAACACGUCAGAGGUGAAAUUCUUGGAUUGUGUUGCGACGAACUACUGCGAAAGCAUUUGCCAAGGAUGUUUUCAUUGAUCAAGAACGAAAGUAAGGGGAUCGAAGACGAUUAGAUACCGUCGUAGUCUUUACCAUAAACUAUGCCAACUAGAGAUGGGGCAUCGUCUAUUUACGACUUGCUCCGCACCUUAUGAGAUAUCAAAGUCUUUGGGUUCCGGGGGGAGUAUGGUCGCAAGGCUGAAACUUAAAGGAAUUGACGGAAGGGCACCACCAGGAGUGGAGCCUGCGGCUUAAUUUGACUCAACACGGGGAAACUCACCAGGUCCAGACAUAAUAAGGAUUGACAGAUUGAUAGCGCUUUCUUGAUUAUAUGGGUGGUGGUGCAUGGCCGUUCUUAGUUCGUGGAGUGAUUUGUCUGCUUAAUUGCGUUA
Molecule: ribosomal RNA, 699 nt
Filed under: uncultured eukaryote
Lineage: Eukaryota
Description: SSU rRNA
Rfam family: Eukaryotic small subunit ribosomal RNA
Source: RNAcentral